CGUGGCCCAGGGUGGUCCCCGCGUGGGUGGUCCCCGCGUGGGCGGCCAGGGUGUCCAUCCUCCCGGUCCCUCCCGCCCUGCAG
Molecule: microRNA precursor, 83 nt
Filed under: Mus pahari (shrew mouse)
Lineage: Eukaryota; Metazoa; Chordata; Mammalia; Rodentia; Muridae
Description: microRNA 7032 (MGP_PahariEiJ_G0007276.1)
Source: RNAcentral